AGGGUUUGAUUAUGGCUCAGGAUGAACGCUGGCGGCGUGCCUAAUACAUGCAAGUCGAACGCUUCACUUCGGUGAAGAGUGGCGAACGGGUGAGUAAUACAUAAGUAACCUGGCAUCUACAGGGGGAUAACUGAUGGAAACGUCAGCUAAGACCGCAUAGGUGUAGAGAUCGCAUGAACUCUAUAUGAAAAGUGCUACGGGACUGGUAGAUGAUGGACUUAUGGCGCAUUAGCUGGUUGGUAGGGUAACGGCCUACCAAGGCGACGAUGCGUAGCCGACCUGAGAGGGUGACCGGCCACACUGGGACUGAGACACGGCCCAG
This 322-nucleotide ribosomal RNA is filed under the name uncultured bacterium. Its description in RNAcentral is "bacterial SSU rRNA". It matches the Rfam family "Bacterial small subunit ribosomal RNA", at positions 8 to 334 of the family's 1533-position model. The record is from RNAcentral.